RNAcentral lists this microRNA (22 nucleotides) under Brugia malayi. RNAcentral describes it as "bma-miR-5366-3p". Lineage: Eukaryota; Metazoa; Nematoda; Chromadorea; Rhabditida; Onchocercidae. RNAcentral also lists the same sequence under 1 other name. The record is from miRBase by way of RNAcentral.
UUAGCAGCACGGCGCAUUUGCG